CCUACGUGAGGCAGCAGUAGGGAAUAUUGCUCAAUGGGGGAAACCCUGCAGCAGCAACGCCGCGUGGAGGAUGAAGGUUUUAGGAUUGUACACUCCUUUUGUGAGAGAAGAUAAUGACGGUAUCUCACGAAUAAGCACCGGCUAACUCCGUGCCAGCAGCCGCGGUAAUACGGCGGGUGCCAGCGUUCCUAGGAAUCACUGGGCGUAAAGAGUGCGCAGACGGGCUGGUAAGUCAGAUAUGAAAUCCUGUAGCUUAACUACAGAACUGCAUUUGAAACUAUGAGUUUAGAGUGUGGGAGAGGUAGGUGGAAGUCUGGGUGGAGGGGUAAAAUCCGUAGAUAUCAAGAGGAAUACUCAUUGCGAAGGCGACCUACUGGAACAUUACUGACGCUCAUGCACGAAAGCGUGGGGAGCAAACAGGAUUAGAUACCCCUGUAGUC
Molecule: ribosomal RNA, 440 nt
Filed under: uncultured bacterium
Lineage: Bacteria
Description: partial 16S ribosomal RNA
Rfam family: Bacterial small subunit ribosomal RNA
Source: RNAcentral